ACGGGAGGCAGCAGUGGGGAAUAUUGCACAAUGGGGGAAACCCUGAUGCAGCGACGCCGCGUGAGUGGAGAAGUAAUUCGUUAUGUAAAGCUCUAUCAGCAGGGAAGAAAAUGACGGUACCUGAGUAAGAAGCCCCGGCUAACUACGUGCCAGCAGCCGCGGUAAUACGUAGGGGGCAAGCGUUAUCCGGAUUUACUGGGUGUAAAGGGAGCGUAGACGGCAGUGCAAGUCUGAUGUGAAAGCCCGGGGCCCAACCCCGGAACUGCAUUGGAAACUGUACUGCUAGAGUGCAGGAGAGGUAAGUGGAAUUCCUAGUGUAGCGGUGAAAUGCGUAGAUAUUAGGAGGAACACCAGUGGCGAAGGCGGCUUACUGGACUGUAACUGACGUUGAGGCUCGAAAGCGUGGGGAGCAAACAGGAUUAGAUGCCCUGGUA
RNAcentral lists this ribosomal RNA (434 nucleotides) under uncultured Lachnospiraceae bacterium. Its description in RNAcentral is "partial 16S ribosomal RNA". It matches the Rfam family "Bacterial small subunit ribosomal RNA", at positions 341 to 792 of the family's 1533-position model. Lineage: Bacteria; Bacillati; Bacillota; Clostridia; Lachnospirales; Lachnospiraceae. The record is from RNAcentral.